UCUUUGUUUCUCUCUCUCUCUCUCCAAUUUCACUCGUUGGAUAAUUGUAGGAGGCGAGAACAUACCUUUGAUUUUCUCUUUCCAUAGACUUUCUUCAUCCCCUUAGCAAUCUCUCUCCUCUCUUUCAUGACUUGUGAAUCUAAUAUCAUGAUUUCUCCCCCAUCAUCAAAUAGAUUAGGCCUGAAAACAUGAGUAGAUCUAGUUCGAGUAUCUCUCUCCUUUCCAUGUUGGUUGACUGAGACUAAAUAGAUCAUGCCUUGAUUAAUCCC
RNAcentral lists this long non-coding RNA (269 nucleotides) under Elaeis guineensis (African oil palm). RNAcentral describes it as "long non-coding RNA (EGUI_LNC004930)". Lineage: Eukaryota; Viridiplantae; Streptophyta; Magnoliopsida; Arecales; Arecaceae. The record is from RNAcentral.